Long non-coding RNA from Equus caballus (horse), 3995 nucleotides. NCBI's taxonomy places the organism in Eukaryota, Metazoa, Chordata, Mammalia, Perissodactyla, Equidae. The record is from Ensembl.
CUCACACGACUCGUUUGGGUCACAUAUGGUUGAGGACACUCUCACACGUGGUUCAGGGAUAGCUCAGCCAUGGCUCACACGUGACACAGGAGUGCCACAGAACUGGCUCCCAUGUGGCUGACACAUGAUACAGGCUUUGGUCACGCAUGGCUCACACAUGGUUCAGGUGUGGCUCAUGAAUCUCUGUGGUUUUAGUCAGGCGUGGCUCACAUGUGUUUGUGACAUGGGUGGCACGUGGUUCAGGCAUGGCAGGCAAGUUGUGCCUGUGUGGCUGACACGUGCUUCAAGUGAGGCUGACCUGUGGUUCAAGUGUUACUGGCACUUGAUUCAGGACUGACUGGCACGUGACAUUGGCAUGGCUCAGACGUGACUCAGACGUAGCUCACACGUUAUGCAGGCAUGACUGACAAAUGACUCAUGUGAGGCAGCCACGUGACACAGGCAUGUGUGACACGUCACUCUGGUGUGGUUCACACAUGCUUCAUGCAUGGCCUUCGUGUAUUUCAUGGGUGGCUGGUGGAGGGUUCAUGCAUGAGUGACAGGUGGUCCAGGCGUGGCUGACAUGUGACUCAGGCAUGUGUGAAACAUGACUCCGGUGUGGUUAGCACAUGUCUCAGGCUUGGCUGACACUUGAGUCUUGCAUGCAUCCCCCAGGAUCCAUGUGUGGCAAACAUGGGGUCACACGUGUGUGGCAUGCCAUACCGGUGUGGCGCCCAUGUGACUCCCAAGUUGCUGAAACGUGGCUCCCGCAUACUCAGUCAUGGCUGGCAUGUGGCUUACGAAUGGCUCAGCUGUGUUUCAUGUGUGGCUCCCCUGCGGUUCAUGUGUGGUUCAAGCAUCAAUCAUGUGUGUUUCACAGGUGGUUCAGAUGUGCUUCAAGGGCGUCUCACAUGUGGUUCAUGCAUGGUUCACACAUGUUUUGGAUGUAAUUCAGGCGUGGCUCACACUCGACUUGUCUGGGUCCCAAAAGGUAGAGGACACAUUCACACGUGGUUCAGGGAUAGCUCAGCUGUGGCUCACACAUGAUGCAAGCGUGCCACAGCACUGGCUCCUAAAUAUCUGACACAUGAUUCUGGCUUUUGCGAUGCAUGGCUCACACAUGGCUCACGUGUGGCACAUGCACAGCUGUGGUACUGCUCAAGCGUGACUCACCUGUGUUUGUGGCAUGGUUGUCACGUGGUUCAGGCAUGGCAGGCAAAUUGUGCCAGUGUGGAUGACACGUGCUUCAAGUGAGGCCGACCUGUGGUUCAAGUGUGACUGGCAGUUGCUUCAGGCCGGGCUGGCACGUGAUGUCAACACGGCUGAGGCCUGACUCAGGUUACUGGAGACGUUCACACAUGAUUUAGGCGUGGCUCACACACGGUUCAGGUGCAGCUCAGCCAAGGGUCACACAUGAUGCAGGCACGCCACAGAACUGGGUCACAUGUGGCUGAUGCAUGAUUCCAGCGCUUGUCAAGCAUGGUUCACACCCGGCUGAGGAGUGGCUCAUGCAUGGCUGUGGUGCUGCUCAGGGGUGGCUCACACUUGUUUGUGGCAUGGUUGGCACGUGGUUCAGGCGUGGCAGGCAGGUGUGUCGGACAUGGCUUCCAGUGGUAUGUGAUGCUUCGUUCAGGCCGCAGUGACACGUGCUUGUUGUGUGGCUGACACUUGGUGUGUCGCAGUUGACACAGGGCUCAGGCGUGCCUGACAUGUGGUUCGGAUGUGGGUGACAGGUGAUUCAGGUGUGGCUGGCACUUUUCUGAUGCAGGGCUGACACAUGACGCAGGCAUGGCCCACACGUGACUCAGGCAUUCAUCGCACAUUAUCCAUGCGUGGCAGGCAUGUGGUCACAUGUGGCACAUUUUGUACAGGUGUGGCUCCCACAUUGCUUACACGUGGGCCCCAGAUUCUCAGUCACGGCUGGCACAUAGCUCAUGCAUGGCUCAUCUGUGUUUCAUGCGUGGCUCACCUGAGCUUCAUGUGUGGUUCAAGCAUUGAACAUGGGUGCUUCCCAUGUGGUCCAGAUGUGGUUGAAGGGUGCCUCCCAUGUGCUUCAGGCACGGUUCAGUUGUGGCUCACAUGUGGUUCCGAUGUAAUUCAGGCAUGGCUCACACAUGACUUGUCGGGGUCACAAAUGCUACAGGAGACUUUCACAGAUGAUUUAGGCAUGGCUCACACAUGGUUCAGGUGCAGCUCAGCCAGGGCUCACAGGUUAUGCAGGCACACCACAGAACUGGGUCACAUAUGGCUGAUGCAUGAUUCUGUCGUUUAUCAUGCAUGGCUCACACCUGGCUGAGGUGUAGCUCAUGAAUGGCUGUGGUGCUGUUCAUGCGUGCUCACACUUGUUUGUGGCAUGGUUGGCACGUGGUUCAGUCAUGGCUGGCAGGUGUCUCCAGUGUGGCUGACAUGUGCUUCAAGUGAGGAUGGUGUGUGGUGAAAUUGAGACUGGCACAUGGUUCAAUCAUGGCUGGCAUGUGACUUCGGCAUGGUUGAGAUGAGACUCAGGCGUGGCCCACACGUUUUUCAGGCAUGGCUGACACGUGACUCAGGUGAGGCAGCCACAUGACACAGGCGUGCCUGUCACAUCACGCAGCUGUGUCUCGCACCUGCUUCAUGCACGGCCUUCACGUGGCACAGGCGUGGCUGGUGGGUGGUUCACGCAUGGGUGCCAGGUGUUUCAGGUGUGGCUAACACAUGACUCAGGCAUCCAUUGCACAUUAUCCGUGACUGGCAGACAUGUGUUUCAUGCAUGGGUUACAUGUCGUUCCUGUGUGGCAAACACGCGACUCACUCAUUGCAGACAAAUGGCUUCCACCUACCCAGACAUGGCUGCCUAGUGGCUUACACAUGGCCCAGUCAUGUUCCACGAGUGGCUCCCUUGAGAUUCACGUGUGGUUCAAACCUUGAACAUGUGUGCUUCACACGUGUUUCACAUGUGGUUCAAGUGUGUCUCAUGUGGUUCAGUCUUGGUUCAGGUGUGGCUCCCAAAUGGCCCAGGUGUAAAUCAGGUGUGACUCACACAUUGCUCAUGUGUGUGUCACAUAUGGUUUAGGACUGUUUUAGCCGUGAUUCACGCGUGGCUCCCACGUGGUGCAGGCAUGUCUCAGCCAUGUCUCACAUGGAGUUCAGGCGAACCUCAGACUGGGGCCAGGUGUGGCUGUCACAUGAUUCAGGAGUUUGUCACACAUGGCUGACACAUGUCUCAGGUGAGGCUCACUCAUGGCUGGGGUGUGGCUCUGCAAUUGUUGGCAUGUGGCUCUUGCCUGUCUGCCACGACACUCACGAGUUGUUGAUAUGUGUUUCAGGCAUGGGAUUCAUGUGUGUCAGACUCGGGUUAGAGUGGUAUGUGAUGCUUCGUUCAGGCCAGAGUGACACGUACUUGUUGUGUGGCUGACACUUGGUGUGUCGCAGUUGACACAGGGCUCAGGCAUGCCAGACAUGUGGUUCGGAUGUGGGUGACAGGUGAUUCAGGUGUGGCUGGCACUUUUCUGAUGUGGGGCUGACACAUGACGCAGGCAUGGCCCACACGUGACUCAGGCAUUCAUCGCACAUUAUCCAAGCAUGGCAGGCAUGUGGUCACACGUGGCACACUUUGUACAGGUGUGGCUCCCACGUUGCUGACAUGUGGCCCCCACAUACUCAGUCACAGCUGACACGUGGCUCAUGCAUGGCUCAGCUGUGUUUCAUGUGUGGCUCACCUGAGCUUCAUGUGUGGUUCAAGCAUUAAACAUUGGUGCUUCCCAUGUGGUCCAGAUGUGGUUGAAGGGUGCCUCCCAUGUGCUUCAUGCACGGUUCAGUUGUGACCCACACUUAGUUCCGAUGUAAUUCAGGCAUGGCUCACACAUGACUUGUGAGGGUCACAAAUGCUACAGGAGCCUUUCACACAUGAUUUAGGCAUGGCUCACACAUGGUUCAGGUGCAGCUCAGCCAAGGCUCACACGUGAUGCAUGCAUGCCACAGAACUGGGUCACAUGUGGCUGAUGCAUGAUUCAGGCGUUUGUCAUGCAUGGCUCUCA